Molecule: long non-coding RNA, 291 nt
Filed under: Mytilus galloprovincialis (Mediterranean mussel)
Lineage: Eukaryota; Metazoa; Mollusca; Bivalvia; Mytilida; Mytilidae
Source: RNAcentral
AAAAGGUCAAAUUAACACGAAAGUACGAUUUGAGAGUAUUCGCAGUUACUGACAGCUAUUUAAAAGCCAAAUCAAUUAAUAAUAAAAACAAAUCAUGCGCCAGAGACUAAAAUACAUCCCAGGGAUUUAGUAUGUUAACGUCAUGGACAGUCAAAGUAAACACGACUUGUGCAAUGCCAAAAAAAACCCACAUGUAUCGACAAGCAUUAGGAUAGUUAGGAGUUUACCUCUUUAUACAAAAGAAUGAACGUUUGUGUGUCUUUAUACACAAUUGAUGUUAAGAACCCGACC